This is a regulatory RNA element of 80 nucleotides. It matches the Rfam family "L31-Actinobacteria ribosomal protein leader". The record is from Rfam.
GCGGUUCCGGUUCCCGCCCACUCGCACCUCAGUGUGUUCUCCCCGCCUCCGCGGGGGUGGACCCUGGCGACCCGGCGACC